ACAUUCCUCCUGCAAGCAUGUCCAGUUUUGACAUACUCAGUGUUGCAGCAUUCAUAUUCAUGAAUAGACGAGCUCUGGACCCACUUGUUGCGAGGCUAAGAAAGGACCCAAGAGGGCUCACCGAGCUUCAGAGAAUGGGAAUCGGUCUAGUUAUUGCAAUAACGGCAAUGGUCUCAGCAGGGGUUGUAGAGUUAUUCAGGUUAAAGCACGCACAAAAAGAAAAGGCUCGUAUAGGCUGCGACAGUGCGAGUUCUUUGAGCAUUUUCUGGCAAAUUCCUCAAUAUGUACUGAUAGGAGCAUCUGAGGUAUUCAUGUAUGUAGGUCAGCUAGAAUUCUU
Molecule: unclassified non-coding RNA, 337 nt
Filed under: Hevea brasiliensis (rubber tree)
Lineage: Eukaryota; Viridiplantae; Streptophyta; Magnoliopsida; Malpighiales; Euphorbiaceae
Source: RNAcentral